AGUGAACGCUGGCGGUAGGCCUAACACAUGCAAGUCGAACGGCAGCACAGUAAGAGCUUGCUCUUACGGGUGGCGAGUGGCGGACGGGUGAGGAAUACAUCGGAAUCUACUUUUUCGUGGGGGAUAACGUAGGGAAACUUACGCUAAUACCGCAUACGACCUACGGGUGAAAGCAGGGGAUCUUCGGACCUUGCGCGAUUGAAUGAGCCGAUGUCGGAUUAGCUAGUUGGCGGGGUAAAGGCCCACCAAGGCGACGAUCCGUAGCUGGUCUGAGAGGAUGAUCAGCCACACUGGAACUGAGACACGGUCCAGACUCCUACGGGAGGCAGCAGUGGGGAAUAUUGGUCAAUGGGCGCAAGCCUGAUCCAGCCAUACCGCGUGGGUGAAGAAGGCCUUCGGGUUGUAAAGCCCUUUUGUUGGGAAAGAAAAGCAGCAGGUUAAUACCCCGCUGUUCUGACGGUACCCAAAGAAUAAGCACCGGCUAACUUCGUG
RNAcentral lists this ribosomal RNA (492 nucleotides) under uncultured bacterium. Its description in RNAcentral is "partial 16S ribosomal RNA". It matches the Rfam family "Bacterial small subunit ribosomal RNA", at positions 29 to 507 of the family's 1533-position model. The record is from RNAcentral.